CCUACGGGUGGCUGCAGUAGGGAAUCUUUCACAAUGGGCGAAAGCCUGAUGGAGCAACGCCGCGUGCAGGAUGAAGGCCUUCGGGUUGUAAACUGCUUUUAUAAGCGAGCAAUAUGAUGGUAACUUAUGAAUAAGGAUCGGCUAACUCCGUGCCAGCAGCCGCGGUAAUACGGAGGAUGCGAGCGUUAUCCGGAUUUAUUGGGUUUAAAGGGUGCGUAGGCGGGCUGUUAAGUCAGCGGUAAAAGCCCGGGGCUCAACCCCGGCGAGCCGUUGAAACUGGCUGUCUUGAGAUGUCGAGAGGUAUGCGGAAUGCGCAGUGUAGCGGUGAAAUGCUUAGAUAUUGCGCAGAACUCCGAUUGCGAAGGCAGCAUACCGGCGGCGAUUGACGCUGAUGCACGAAAGCGUGGGUAUCAAACAGGAUUAGAUACCCCAGUAGUC
This 438-nucleotide ribosomal RNA is filed under the name uncultured bacterium. RNAcentral describes it as "partial 16S ribosomal RNA". It matches the Rfam family "Bacterial small subunit ribosomal RNA", at positions 338 to 795 of the family's 1533-position model. The record is from RNAcentral.